UAUCCCUGUGUGGCGCGUGUCGGUUCUCAGUUGUUUCUCUCUUCGGGUGGCUAUAUUGCUCCGCACCCACACCCGGAUUCGUUUUUUAAGAACAAUCUUACAAUCUGUUUUCACCCACACGAUUUUUAAUUAUUUUUUGGGUGGUGGUCGGCGGCCCAGUAAUCAUUUUGUAUCAGAGAGAGAAGGGAAGGGGAGGAGAGGCGGAGGCGGUGGCGGUGGAGGGGGGUCACCGCCGUCCGGGAGUAGCAGCAAGGGGUUAGCUGGAGGUCAUGGAGCGCGGGAAGCUGCCGCAGCACAGCCCUGUGAAGGGGAGCCGCUGUCAUGGAGGAGCAGGGGGAAGGAGAGAGGGAGGUACUGAGAGGAGGGCGGCGAAGAUUUUUUGCUGGUCCCGCCACCAGCAGGGUUUCGCCGGUGAUGUCGCAACCGUUCGUCGGCGCCGUUCGCGCGGGAGCAGGGUUGGGGAUUCUUGAGGGGCAGAGAUCAAUGAGUGGAUGCCAUGAACCCAACUACGACCCUGAUGACGGUUCGCGAAACACUGAGAGUUGCGAUGAGAGCAUUGCAUCUAGUGAUGAAGAAUCUGUUUCGACGAGGAAGAAGUUAUUAGAAGAUGCUUUAUUUGGUUUUUUAGAAAGGAGGCAAUCAAAUCACUCAAGAUUUUUCAAAAUUCUGCAAGAAUGUCGACCUCGAAACUGAGGAUAAGAGGCAAAAGGUUAUGGGGGCAGGGAGGCAUGUGUUCAGUGUGUUUUCCACAAAAUACUUUGCAGAUAUCUUGAGGCAUAUGUCCAGUGGUUGGAAGGAUAUGAUCUCAGAAUACGGGUUCGAGCCUCUUCUGAAAUUUAAGAAAACUGAUAUCCCGUAAAGAUUUGUCCGCUGGAUUGUCGAAUGUGUAGACACAAUGUCAUCUCAAAUCAUUGUUGCUAAUAAGAAGAUCAUUUCUAUCUCAAAGGAUUCAGUUCAUUGUGUGCUGGGCCUGCCAAACUGUGGUGAUUUAGCGACACAAGACAAGGAUAGUGUGAGGAACUUCAUUUUGCCUCGGUUCAGCUUGACGAAGAUGCCAAACAAUACUUUCUUUGGAGACAUGCUCAUAUCUUCUGAUUUCCUCAGUGAGGAAGACACUUUCAUAUGCUUCAUGGUGAUCGCAAUGUCGUGCUUCCUUUUUCCAUCUUCCAGGGAUCAGAUUCACACUGAGUUUUUGUCCUUGCUUGUUGAUUCAAAGCACACAAGUGGUUUUGAUUUCUAUGCGCUUGUGUAUGAUUGUAUACUUACUGGCAUCAUCAAGUAUGUGAUUUCUGGCAGAGUAACGGGCAGGAUACCAAAGGUGUUUGACUUUUGCUCGUACUGAAUGACGACACAAGCAUUUUCAUAUUAGUGUACGUCCUGGUACAUAUGCACAUAGUCGGAGGCGGCAGACCCGGACUCUGCAGGCUCCCGAUGGAGUGCUCCCGCGGUGCCUUCUUUCACUCGCAAGGACAUUCAGAUGUACCUCCACAUGAGACAUGAUAGAACCACACAGGUAAAUUCUCAUUUUUCUUUGUUCCUCUCGUGAGCUUCAGUUUUUGCUUGUUUCCUAGGAGCAUGAACUAUGCUUGUGGGCGUAGAGAUAAUAUGAUAGUUAUUCUAUUCAAUCCAUGGCCAAUAACAAGUUAUAGUAAAAAUUAAAAAUUAGUGUCUGUCAACUAUGAAAUUGAUUAAAUUGACUUUAGUGCAUAGGGAUAAUUUGAUCACGAUUCAAGCCAUGGCCAAUAACAAGAAAAUCAGUGUCAACUAUAAAUUGAUUAAAUUGGUUUCACUACAAUGGAUAGAACUUUUUAUAUAACAAAUCGAGUAUCUUAAUGAGCGAAUGUGAGGAAUCUUGUUCUGGGGCGACCAGUCCUCUUGUCGCUCAAUCUGCUGCAAGCACGUGCGGUGAUGAUGGGUAGGAAAAGUGGACCGAGCUAUAAAUUUAAAUUUUUCAUAACAAUUUGAUUAAGUUGGCUUCAGUUCAUGGAAGAAGACUUGAUUUUCUCGGUCAUCAUAGUAGAGGUAGAGCUCCCAAUGAUCAGUUGCUGCAGAUCUGAGUUGUACAGUUGGAAAUUGGUGCAGAACAAUUAGCUUAGAACUAUGGGCCAUUGACUUAGGUAUAGGAGAGUUAGUUCAGAACUACGGGCCUCUGAUUUAGGUAUAGGAUAAUAAUUUGUAACCCAUUUAAGUCAUAGCUCAGGAACCCAUUUAAGUCGUAGCUCAUGAACUUUCAGACAGACUAUGCUAGACAUAACUUUAUCUGCAAGUACAUAUGUAUAACUUUCAUUUGAUAAUUGCCUCCAUAGAGGACUGAUAGAAUAGCAAUCGCACGCUAAAUUCUGGAAAGCAUGAUUAACAAGUAACUGGCAAAUAUAGACUGGACACAUGAGAACUUCAGUAACAGCACAUGGUGACGCAUUAGAGAUAUGCAUAUGGGCAAGGCAUUGCGAUGCAUUCAGCGCACGGGGUCUUCCGCUUAGCUGCAAGGUCCGCGUUUCGCUGAGCCCGCAAUGCCUUCCUCUCAUCCGGUGGUAUGCUCUGCCUGCGUGCUCUUCGACGGGCGUUCAUCUCUUGCCUCUGCUCAACUGGUAUAUUUUUACUCGCUGCCCUUCUACGGGCAUUCAUCUCUUGCCUCUCCUUGGUUGUCAGAUUUUGUCUGACAGCCCUUUGGCUUGCAUUCCUAUCUUCAAUAGUUUUAUUUUUUCUAGAUGCUCUUCGACGUGCAUUCACUUCUUCCCUUUGCUCGGGUGUUAGGCUAUCUCUCCUUGCUUUAUCACGGUUCCGUCUUUGUUGAUUUUUGUCUUCUUUAACGCUUGCAUGGGAAGCAAUAUGUUCAGCACCACUCGGUGCUCCUUGAGGUGCUGUAGGGUUUUCUGCAUGGCCAGUGUGUAAUUUGUUAAAUCCAAGACUCACAUUGAAGCAAUAUACCUAGUACAUGGUUAGACUUAAUAAAUCUAGAUGUAUAGAUGACCAUACUUCAAUGGUAGAAACGCCGUGUGAAAGGGUAAUACCAUUUGAUGUUCCCACAUGCUCCUGUGGCUCCAAUGCUGUCAUGGUACCGGCUGUGGGAAGCAUUGUAGCUGAUUGGGUGGACGCUUCACAUAUGAACAUUCUGUAUGACUGUUCCACAACAACAAUUAAGAUUACAAGAUGGUCAGCUUCAAAUCAUCAAUUAAGACAUUAUGUCUCCACAAUUUGUUAGAGAAUACAGGUAGCUUUUUCCCUUAUCAUUCGACAUAUUAUAAGAAAAUGUUGCAUGGAUAAUGAUUAACGACCUUUGAACCUUCACCACUGUGGUUCAUAGACAAAGUAAAAUAGUUGGUGCUACGAUUUCAGGCAGUAAAGAUGCUAUGAGGGAGAAUUCAGACAAAAAGGGCAAAAUAAAAUACUGUAAUAGUAAAUGGUGCCGGGAUAGUUUUUUUUUUGAAACGGGCAAAAGAUUUGCCGCAUAUAUUAAUUAAGAAGGAGAAGAAUGUUUUGUUACAGGCCCCCAACUACAAGGAUUUUACUCUCCUGGAAUGAUGGUCCCUAACUUUUUUGCGCCUGCGGCGACCCAGAGUUUAGCUUCAAGCUUGAUGUUGUUGAGCAAGAUUGUUGGCAGAGAGGACUUGUUGCG
Molecule: non-coding RNA, 3616 nt
Organism: Triticum urartu
Lineage: Eukaryota; Viridiplantae; Streptophyta; Magnoliopsida; Poales; Poaceae
Source: RefSeq, a predicted model, not a curated record